RNAcentral lists this ribosomal RNA (513 nucleotides) under Oceanospirillaceae bacterium M15-C1. Its description in RNAcentral is "bacterial SSU rRNA". It matches the Rfam family "Bacterial small subunit ribosomal RNA", at positions 1 to 516 of the family's 1533-position model. Lineage: Bacteria; Pseudomonadati; Pseudomonadota; Gammaproteobacteria; Oceanospirillales; Oceanospirillaceae. The record is from RNAcentral.
UGAGCUUGAUCCUGGCUCAGAUUGAACGCUGGCGGCAGGCCUAACACAUGCAAGUCGAGCGGCAGCACGAGGAAGCUUGCUUUCUUGGUGGCGAGCGGCGGACGGGUGAGUAAUACAUGGGAAUCUGCCCGAUAGUGGGGGACAACGUUUCGAAAGGAACGCUAAUACCGCAUACGUCCUACGGGAGAAAGCAGGCUUAGGCUUGCGCUAUCGGAUGAGCCCAUGUCGGAUUAGCUUGUUGGUGAGGUAAUGGCUCACCAAGGCGACGAUCCGUAACUGGUCUGAGAGGAUGAUCAGUCACACCGGAACUGAGACACGGUCCGGACUCCUACGGGAGGCAGCAGUGGGGAAUAUUGGACAAUGGGGGCAACCCUGAUCCAGCCAUGCCGCGUGUGUGAAGAAGGCCUUCGGGUUGUAAAGCACUUUCAGCGAGGAGGAAAGCAGUAAGGUUAAUACCCUUAUUGUGUGACGUUACUCGCAGAAGAAGCACCGGCAAACUCCGUGCCAGCAGCC